UAUAGAGUAAUGUAACCAUAUAAGCAUAAUGCUUUUUGGUAGCAUAAGAGGCAGUGUCCCUCUAUA
RNAcentral lists this transfer RNA (66 nucleotides) under Gyrodactylus derjavinoides. RNAcentral's name for it is "tRNA-Gln". The record is from RNAcentral. Lineage: Eukaryota; Metazoa; Platyhelminthes; Monogenea; Gyrodactylidea; Gyrodactylidae.